UGGAGAAAAGCAGGGGAUCGUAAGACCUUGCGCUUUUGGAGUGGCCGAUGCCUGAUUAGCUAGUUGGUGGGGUAAAGGCCUACCAAGGCGACGAUCAGUAGUUGGUCUGAGAGGACGACCAGUCACACUGGGACUGAGACACGGCCCAGACUCCUACGGGAGGCAGCAGUGGGGAAUUUUGGACAAUGGGCGAAAGCCUGAUCCAGCAAUGCCGCGUGAGUGAAGAAGGCCUUCGGGUUGUAAAGCUCUUUCAGUCGAGAAGAAAAGAUUGUGAUGAAUAAUCACAGUUCAUGACGGUAUCGACAGAAGAAGCACCGGCUAACUACGUGCCAGCAGCCGCGGUAAUACGUAGGGUGCAAGCGUUAAUCGGAAUUACUGGGCGUAAAGGGUGCGCAGGCGGCUUUGUAAGUCAGAUGUGA
This 419-nucleotide ribosomal RNA is filed under the name uncultured ammonia-oxidizing beta proteobacterium. Its description in RNAcentral is "bacterial SSU rRNA". It matches the Rfam family "Bacterial small subunit ribosomal RNA", at positions 197 to 597 of the family's 1533-position model. The record is from RNAcentral. Lineage: Bacteria; Pseudomonadati; Pseudomonadota; Betaproteobacteria.